GCCGAAAUAAUGCACCUGCUAGAGCACGUCAUUCGUACUGACUGGGGGUGGGGGUUCGAAUCCCUCUUGCGGCACCU
RNAcentral lists this transfer RNA (77 nucleotides) under Rhodopseudomonas palustris HaA2. RNAcentral describes it as "tRNA-Thr-CGT-2-1". It matches the Rfam family "tRNA". From Rfam's summary of the family: Transfer RNA (tRNA) molecules are approximately 80 nucleotides in length. Their secondary structure includes four short double-helical elements and three loops (D, anti-codon, and T loops). Further hydrogen bonds mediate the characteristic L-shaped molecular structure. tRNAs have two regions of fundamental functional importance: the anti-codon, which is responsible for specific mRNA codon recognition, and the 3' end, to which the tRNAs corresponding amino acid is attached (by aminoacyl-tRNA synthetases). tRNAs cope with the degeneracy of the genetic code in two manners: having more than one tRNA (with a specific anti-codon) for a particular amino acid; and 'wobble' base-pairing, i.e. permitting non-standard base-pairing at the 3rd anti-codon position. Lineage: Bacteria; Pseudomonadati; Pseudomonadota; Alphaproteobacteria; Hyphomicrobiales; Nitrobacteraceae. The record is from RNAcentral.